Molecule: small nuclear RNA, 20 nt
Filed under: Arabidopsis thaliana (thale cress)
Lineage: Eukaryota; Viridiplantae; Streptophyta; Magnoliopsida; Brassicales; Brassicaceae
Description: snRNA_15977
Source: RNAcentral
UUAAAAUUCCGGAACCGGGA